Molecule: transfer RNA, 82 nt
Filed under: Acidimicrobiales bacterium
Lineage: Bacteria; Bacillati; Actinomycetota; Acidimicrobiia; Acidimicrobiales
Description: tRNA-Tyr
Rfam family: tRNA
About the family: Transfer RNA (tRNA) molecules are approximately 80 nucleotides in length. Their secondary structure includes four short double-helical elements and three loops (D, anti-codon, and T loops).
Source: RNAcentral
GGGUCGGUACCCGAGUGGCCAAAGGGAGCAGUCUGUAAAACUGCCGGUUCCGCCUACGUAGGUUCGAAUCCUACCCGGCCCA